Molecule: long non-coding RNA, 243 nt
Filed under: Elaeis guineensis (African oil palm)
Lineage: Eukaryota; Viridiplantae; Streptophyta; Magnoliopsida; Arecales; Arecaceae
Description: long non-coding RNA (EGUI_LNC047942)
Source: RNAcentral
AUCAGGUCAAAGGCAAUAGGUUCAGUUUAGCUCAAACAAUUUGAACUUAACCUAAUUAAGAACUUGGGUUAACACAAUGUGCUAGCAUCUCAAAUUAACCGAUAUAAUUUAUAUUAAAUCUUAAUUAAAUUAGAUCAAGAUCAAAUUUCAAAGUGCAUGACCCAUUGCAUUUCAAAUUUAGCUAGCAGUAGACACAAACUCUUGACCUAACCCUAAUCUGAUCAGGCUAGGUCAGCUCAAGUG